RNAcentral lists this unclassified non-coding RNA (141 nucleotides) under uncultured Dothideomycetes. Its description in RNAcentral is "sequence contains ITS2". Lineage: Eukaryota; Fungi; Ascomycota; Dothideomycetes. The record is from RNAcentral.
AAACCAUCAAGCCCAGCUUGGUCUUGGACGCGGUCAAGUGACCCGUCCGUAACCCGUUGGCGGUGCAGUCCGGCUUCAAGCGUAGCAAGAAUUUCGCUUCAGGAGUCCGCGGCGGCGCCCGCCAGGUAACCGCAUCCCAAA